GAUGAAGAACGCAGCGAAAUGCGAUAAGUAAUGUGAAUUGCAGAAUUCAGUGAAUCAUCGAAUCUUUGAACGCACAUUGCGCCCCCCGGUAUUCCGGCGGGCAUGCCUGUUCGAGCGUCAUUGCUGCCCUCAAGCACGGCUUGUGUGUUGGGCCCCGUCCUCCGAUCCCGGGGGACGGGCCCGAAAGGCAGCGGCGGCACCGCGUCCGGUCCUCGAGCGUAUGGGGCUUUGUCACCCGCUCUGUAGGCCCGGCCGGCGCUUGCCGAUCAACCCAAAUUUUUUAUCCAGGUUGACCUCGGAUCAGGUAGGGAUACCCGCUGAACUUAAGCAUAUCAAUAAGCGGAGGA
This 347-nucleotide unclassified non-coding RNA is filed under the name soil metagenome. RNAcentral describes it as "partial contains 5.8S ribosomal RNA, internal transcribed spacer 2, and large subunit ribosomal RNA". The stretch from base 1 to 120 matches the Rfam family "5.8S ribosomal RNA", at positions 35 to 154 of the family's 154-position model. The record is from RNAcentral.